RNAcentral lists this ribosomal RNA (425 nucleotides) under uncultured bacterium. RNAcentral's name for it is "bacterial SSU rRNA". It matches the Rfam family "Bacterial small subunit ribosomal RNA", at positions 356 to 773 of the family's 1533-position model. The record is from RNAcentral.
AGGGAAUCUUCCACAAUGGGCGAAAGCCUGAUGGAGCAACGCCGCGUGAGCGAAGAAGGUCUUCGGAUCGUAAAGCUCUGUUGUAAGGGAAGAACAAGCGCAGCAGUCACUGGCUGCGCCCUGACGGUACCUUACUAGAAAGCCACGGCUAACUACGUGCCAGCAGCCGCGGUAAUACGUAGGUGGCAAGCGUUGUCCGGAAUUAUUGGGCGUAAAGCGCGCGCAGGCGGUCUCUUAAGUCUGAUGUGAAAGCCCUCGGCUCAGCCGGGGAGGGUCAUUGGAAACUGGGAGACUUGAGUGCAGGAGAGGGAAGCGGAAUUCCAUGUGUAGCGGUGAAAUGCGUAGAGAUAUGGAGGAACACCAGUGGCGAAGGCGGCUUCCUGGCCUGUAACUGACGCUGAGGCGCGAAAGCGUGGGGAGCAAAC